AUGCCCCACCAAUCUGGCUAAGGUAAGAAAAAGAUAUAAAGAGAAAGUUACAGAAAUUUGAAGGGUUAAGCUAAGUUGCUGAGAGUUAGUGUAAGUUGCAGAGAAAGUAAAGUUGAAGUGUGGUUACAUAAGUGGACAGCAUCUAAUAGCUGUAGAGGAAGAUGCAGAAGAUAUGAGAGAGACUGAGGAAGAGAAAGAGGAAAGAAGGUAAAAAGCAGGAAGCUAGGGAAGAAAAGAGACAAAAAGAAGAAGAAGCUAGAGAGCUAAAGAGGGAUAAAAGACAGGAGAGGAACAUAUACUGGCCACAGUAGUUAGAGAACCUAGGAAGACAGUACCUGGCAACAGAAGAGAAUUCCUGGCUAAAGAUCAGUGUGCCUAUUGCAAGGAAAAAGGACACUAGGUCAGGGACUGCCCCAGGAAGAACAAGAGGGGCCUCUCCAGCAGCCCCGAAGGCAAGCCUCUUGGUCGUAGACUGCUGGCUAUGCGCAAAGAUAGAAGGGAAGCCUGCCCAGUUGUUUUGUGAAUACAGGGACCCAACACUCUGUGCUCCUACACCCAAAUGGGCUAGUGUCCAGCAAAAGACCUUGAGUACAGGGGACUACCGGCAACAAAUGUUACUCAUGGACUACCCGAAGAAUGGUGGACCUUGGCAUGGGCCAGGUAUCCCACUUGUUCCUUGUGAUCCCAGACUGCCCCUACGAGUCUGAACCCUGCAACCCUGCUCCCGGACCC
Molecule: long non-coding RNA, 732 nt
Filed under: Rattus norvegicus (Norway rat)
Lineage: Eukaryota; Metazoa; Chordata; Mammalia; Rodentia; Muridae
Description: long non-coding RNA NONRATT024281
Source: RNAcentral